This 2013-nucleotide small RNA is filed under the name Pongo abelii (Sumatran orangutan). RNAcentral's name for it is "retained intron". The record is from RNAcentral. Lineage: Eukaryota; Metazoa; Chordata; Mammalia; Primates; Hominidae.
ACCAUUUAAGGAAAAAGAUAACCCACAAAAGAAUGGCUGAGAAUUAUCUCUCAUGGCCUUUAUUUUCUUCAUAUUAGAUCUCCAGAAAGCUAUUUGAAUUAAUUUUGUUAUCAUUUGCUAAAUCACUGGAGGCCAUGUCUACACCACCAAGAGAAAAAAGUUCAAAAACUCAUUUCAAACAGCUUCCUACCAAACCAGUCGGGGAUAUUCUAUACAGUAUACCAAUAUAAAAAAUACAGAAGAAUUAUUUGUUCUUAUCCUAUUCCAAAUUAUAUAAGUUGAUAACCAAAUGUUACCACUGGAAAACGUCUUGGAACUAUUUAAGUCUUUCUAUUGCACUUUUUCUUACAACUUUAAAAGACAAAAUUUUAAAAUCUGACCCCAGCCCUUAUGAUUGUUCGGUAUAUAAUCAGUGGUAUCCUACAAGGAAUAUUUUACUUGGAAUUAAUCAAAUUUCUUUCCUGCCAACAAUAAGUUAGGUUGUUUUUUGCAGUUCUCAAGUAACAAAUAUGAGGACCGAACUCUCAUUCAACAUCCAAGCCCUUGCAGUUUGUGCAAAUAUAUGUUUAGCAAGAAAGGACAGACAGAAUCCAUCAUUAGUAUGGCUUUUUACUGGAAUGUUUUGCAUUUAUUCAUUGUUCUUUGCUUGGAGAGCAAAUUUAGAUAUUUCAAAACCACUUUUCAUGGGUGUGGUGGAACGAUUCUGGAUGCAGAGCAAUGCAGUAGUGGCCGUCCUCGCUGGCAUUGGUUUGGCUGCAGUUGUGUCUGAGACUAACCGAGUGCUGAAUAUCAAUGGGCUUCAGUGUCUGGAAUGGCUUUCUGCAACUCUUUUUGUAGUUUACCAAAUAUAUUCUAAUUACAGAUGAUGACUUACGAGUGGUAUUUACCCAAGAUCGCAAAGCACUUGCCAGGUGUCAACUUUCCUGGGAACCGGUGGAAUCCUGUGGAAGGAAUAUUACCUAGUGGAAUGGUCACAUUUAAUCUUUAUCAUUUUCUUGAAGUAAAUAAACAAAAAGAAACAUUUGUUUGCAUAGGAAUUCAUGAAGGCGACCCAACCUGGAAAAAGAACUAUUCACUUUGGCCAUGGGGGUCUUGUGACAAAUUAGUUCCUUUGGAGAUUGUAUUCAACCCUGAGGAAUGGAUUAAACUUACAAAAAAUAUCUAUAACUGGACCGAAGAAUAUGGAAGGUUUGAUCCAUCUUCUUGGGAAUCUGUAGCCAAUGAAGAAAUGUGGCAAGCGAGGAUGAAAACACCGUUCUUCAUCUUUAACCUGGCAGAAACUGCUCACAUGCCUUCAAAAGUGAAAGCUCAACUCUACGCUCAUGCAUAUGACCUUUAUAAGGAGAUUGUCUAUUUACAAAAGGAGCACCCAGUGAAUUGGCACAAGAACUAUGCCAUCGCCUGUGAGCGGAUGCUGCGUCUUCAGGCAAGAGAUGUAGACCCUGAAGUGCUGUUAUCUGAAACCAUCAGACAUUUCCGUCUGUACUCUCAGAAAGCACCGAAUGACCCACAGCAAGCUGAUAUUUUAGGUGCUCUAAAGCACCUAAGAAAAGAACUGCAAAGUCUAAGAAAUAGGAAAAAUGUCUGAGACAGCAAAAUAUGAAAAACCUGCUCAUCAUUCAGCUUCCAAAAUUCUGAAGUCCGGAAAUUUUUCCUUCAAGAAAAGAAACUGCAUAAAAAAUUUAAAACUAAGUCAUUUCCCAGAUAUAAGUAUCAUGGUCCAGCAGUACUGUUUAAUGGGGUGUUCAGUGACUAAGAUGUACUGUUUAUGCAAAAUUCUGUUUAUCCCGUGUUACCAGAUUACCAUUUCAGUGAGAAGCUUUUGAAAAGUCUUCUGACUUCCAGUCUUUCACCAGAUGACUGCGCUGGAUUAGAUUCUAGAAGAGAAUGAACCAUUUUCAUAUAACUAAAUAUUGGUCAUGAACUGUGUAAGGGCCAUGCUUAUUGGGAUCAGUUUUAAAGUUAAAUUCUUUUGAUGUUAAUACCAGACCAAAGACAUUUUCUGUUUCAUGG